AUCGACGCCGAACGCCGCAUGAGCCGAGCCAAGAGACUCGACCAAAACGGGAACGGACGUCGUCCGCACGAAGCGUAGAACGCUUUAUUUUCGGGGCAAAUAGAGGUCGAGGACCUCGUACCGCGUCGGUCUUCCGCAUCCGAGAGAUCGAGCAUAACGACAUGGGCCAACGACCGACGAGCGCCCGAGAGCACACGGAUCGUGGAACACGGCGAAUGCUUCGACGUCCACCCAACACCGCAGCCACAAGGGGCGCAGCACAAGGAGGAAAGGGACAUUCGGACCACCACAUGCCUUCUCGAUAGGUAUACAACACAGGAAACCAUCAUCGGUCAAGGCAAUCCGCAACUUGAGCCAACAAUUGAAGAGGCGUGCACGAGAU
RNAcentral lists this unclassified non-coding RNA (382 nucleotides) under Aloysia virgata. Its description in RNAcentral is "partial external transcribed spacer". Lineage: Eukaryota; Viridiplantae; Streptophyta; Magnoliopsida; Lamiales; Verbenaceae. The record is from RNAcentral.